CAUGCCGUAAACGAUGAUUACUAGGUGUAGGGGGUAUCGACCCCCCCUGUGCCGCAGUUAACACAAUAAGUAAUCCACCUGGGGAGUACGGCCGCAAGGUUGAAACUCAAAGGAAUUGACGGGGGCCCGCACAAGCAGUGGAGUAUGUGGUUUAAUUCGAAGCAACGCGAAGAACCUUACCAGGUCUUGACAUCCAACUAACGAGGCAGAGAUGCGUUAGGUGCCCUUCGGGGAAAGUUGAGACAGGUGG
This 250-nucleotide ribosomal RNA is filed under the name uncultured Clostridium sp. RNAcentral describes it as "partial 16S ribosomal RNA". It matches the Rfam family "Bacterial small subunit ribosomal RNA", at positions 796 to 1041 of the family's 1533-position model. The record is from RNAcentral. Lineage: Bacteria; Bacillati; Bacillota; Clostridia; Eubacteriales; Clostridiaceae.